AGAGUUUGAUCCUGGCUCAGGAUGAACGCUGGCGGCGUGCUUAACACAUGCAAGUCGAACGAAGCACUUUAACCUGAUUCUUCGGAUGAAGGUUUUUGUGACUGAGUGGCGGACGGGUGAGUAACGCGUGGGUAACCUGCCUCAUACAGGGGGAUAACAGUUAGAAAUGACUGCUAAUACCGCAUAAGACCACGGAGCUGCAUGGCUCAGUGGGAAAAACUCCGGUGGUAUGAGAUGGACCCGCGUCUGAUUAGGUAGUUGGUGGGGUAACGGCCUACCAAGCCAACGAUCAGUAGCCGACCUGAGAGGGUGACCGGCCACAUUGGGACUGAGACACGGCCCAAACUCCUACGGGAGGCAGCAGUGGGGAAUAUUGCACAAUGGGGGAAACCCUGAUGCAGCGACGCCGCGUGAGCGAAGAAGGUUUUCGGAUUGUAAACCUCUGUCCUAUGUGACGAAGGAAGUGACGGUAGCAUAGGAGGAAGCCCCGGCUAACUACGUGCCAGCAGCCGCGGUAAUACGUAGGGGGCGAGCGUUGUCCGGAAUUACUGGGCGUAAAGGGUGCGUAGGCGGUUUGGUAAGUUGGAUGUGAAAUACCCGGGCUUAACUUGGGGGCUGCAUCCAAUACUGUCGGACUUGAGUGCAGGAGAGGAAAGCGGAAUUCCUAGUGUAGCGGUGAAAUGCGUAGAUAUUAGGAGGAACACCAGUGGCGAAGGCGGCUUACUGGACGGUAACUGACGUUGAGGCUCGAAAGCGUGGGGAGCAAACAGGAUUAGAUACCCUGGUAGUCCACGCCGUAAACGAUGACUACUAGGUGUCGGGCAGCAAAGCUGUUCGGUGCCGCAGCAAACGCAAUAAGUAGUCCACCUGGGGAGUACGUUCGCAAGAAUGAAACUCAAAGGAAUUGACGGGGGCCCGCACAAGCAGCGGAGCAUGUGGCUUAAUUCGAAGCAACGCGAAGAACCUUACCAGGGCUUGACAUAUGGGUGAAGCGGGGGAGACCCCGUGGCCGAGAGGAGCCCAUACAGGUGGUGCAUGGCUGUCGUCAGCUCGUGUCGUGAGAUGUUGGGUUAAGUCCCGCAACGAGCGCAACCCCCGCCGCGUGUUGCCAUCGGGUGAUGCCGGGAACCCACGCGGGACCGCCGCCGUCAAGGCGGAGGAGGGCGGGGACGACGUCAAGUCAUCAUGCCCCUUAUGCCCUGGGCUGCACACGUGCUACAAUGGCCGGUACAGAGGGAUGCCACCCCGCGAGGGGGAGCGGAUCCCGGAAAGCCGGCCCCAGUUCGGAUUGGGGGCUGCAACCCGCCCCCAUGAAGUCGGAGUUGCUAGUAAUCGCGGAUCAGCAUGCCGCGGUGAAUGCGUUCCCGGGCCUUGCACACACCGCCCGUCA
Molecule: ribosomal RNA, 1390 nt
Filed under: uncultured bacterium
Lineage: Bacteria
Description: bacterial SSU rRNA
Rfam family: Bacterial small subunit ribosomal RNA
Source: RNAcentral